Molecule: ribosomal RNA, 1387 nt
Filed under: Neoverruca intermedia
Lineage: Eukaryota; Metazoa; Arthropoda; Thecostraca; Neoverrucidae
Description: 16S ribosomal RNA
Rfam family: Bacterial large subunit ribosomal RNA (bases 885-1254)
Source: RNAcentral
GAAAAAGGGCUUGAUUAAUAACAAGAUCUCUAAUUAUGAUUUAUAGUGAAUAUUUAAUUUAUUAAUUGGUUUAGAGUAAUUUUUUGAAAUGGUUUUUUUACUAUAGUGGAUAAGUACUGUGAAGGAAAUUUUGAAAUAGUUGAAAAUUUAAUAUAAGAUAAGUAUUUUUGUUAAAGGUACCUUUUGUAUCAGGGGCUAUUAAAAUUUAUUUUUAUAUAAAUAUUUCUCGAAAAUAAAAGAUUUAAUAAAUUUAAAUGGUUUUUGUGGUAAAAAGAUCGUUGAAAAUUUAUUAGGGGUGAUAUGUGAAUCGAUUUUAUUAAUAUCUAGUAGACUUUGAAAAAAAUUUAGUUUUGAAGGUUAGGAAUAGAAUUAAUUUUUUUAAUUUUGUUUAAAUAUUUUCAUAUUUCUUAAGGGUUGAGCUUUAGGAAAUUUUAAUAAUUUGGUAAUAAAUUGGUUUUAAGCUAGGCUUAGAAUUAGCUACUUGAAAGUUUUAUAAGAUAGAAUUUUAAGUGAAUUAUUUAAUUAAGUUUUAAUAUUUAAAUGUCUAAAUUCUUGAAUAAAAUAGGAUUAGAAAUAAUGAUAGUAUGAGUAGAUAAGUUUAUUCGGAAUUAUUUUUAAGAUUUUCUAGAAAUUUUUUUUGUUUAAUUAAUAUAGUAAAAGAACUCGGCAAAUAAAAUUUCCGAAUGUUUAACAAAAACAUUUCCUUCCUUUAGGAAGGUAAGGCCUGCUCACUGAUUUUUAAAGAGCCGCAGUAUUUUGACUGUGCAAAGGUAGCAUAAUCAUUAGUCUUUUAAUAGGAGGCUGGAAUGAAUGGCUAAACGAGAAAUUGACUUUUUUUAUUAUAAGGUUUGAAUUUAAUUUUUUAGUGAAAAAGCUAAAAUUUUCUAAAAAGACGAGAAGACCCUAUAGAGUUUAAUUUUUUAUUAAAGUAGAAGUUUUUGGUUUUUAUGAUUUCAGUUUUGUGUUAAAAUUUUGUUGGGGUGACAUUGAGAUAUAAAAAACUCUUAAUAUAAAAGGACUUUGAUGAAAGUAAGAUGAAUUGAUCCUUUAUAAAGGAUUAAAAGUUAAAUUACCUUAGGGAUAACAGCGUAAUCUUUUUUGAGAGUUCUAAUCGACAAAAAGGUUUGCGACCUCGAUGUUGGAUUAAAUUUAAGGCAAGGUGUAGCCGCUUUGUUUUUAGGUCUGUUCGACCUAUAAAAAUUUACAUGAUCUGAGUUCAGACCGGCGUGAGCCAGGUUGGUUUCUAUCUUUUAGGUUUAGAAAAUUGGUUUAGUACGAAAGGAUUGAUUAAUUAUAAUAAUUAUUUAGAAGUUUGAGUAUCAUUAAAUUUAAUAAAAUAAGUUUGGCAGAAUGUAUGUAUUAGACUUAGAAUCUAAAAAUGAGAAUU